Molecule: ribosomal RNA, 580 nt
Filed under: uncultured bacterium
Lineage: Bacteria
Description: bacterial SSU rRNA
Rfam family: Bacterial small subunit ribosomal RNA
Source: RNAcentral
CCUACGGGAGGCAGCAGUGAGGAAUCUUGCGCAAUGGGGGAAACCCUGACGCAGCGACGCCGCGUGAGUGAUGAAGGCCUUCGGGUCGUAAAGCUCUGUCGGAUGGGAAGAAAGUUCCGGCGGUGAAUAAUUGCUGGAAUUGACGGUACCGUCAAAGGAAGCACCGGCUAACUCCGUGCCAGCAGCCGCGGUAAUACGGAGGGUGCAAGCGUUGUUCGGAAUUAUUGGGCGUAAAGAGCGUGUAGGCGGCCUUGUAAGUCAGAUGUGAAAUACCUUGGCUCAACCAAGGAAGGGCAUUUGAAACUGCUUGGCUUGAGUACGGGAGGGGGAAGCGGAAUUCCCGGUGUAGAGGUGAAAUUCGUAGAUAUCGGGAGGAACACCGGUGGCGAAGGCGGCUUCCUGGACCGAUACCGACGCUGAGACGCGAAAGCGUGGGGAGCAAACAGGAUUAGAUACCCUGGUAGUCCACGCCCUAAACGUUGGGCACUAGGUGUUGCGGGUAUUGACCCCUGCAGUGCCGAAGCUAACGCAUUAAGUGCCCCGCCUGGGGAGUACGGCCGCAAGGCUAAAACUCAAAGGA